AUCAUGUACCAAGCAGGGGCCGAUUUGGCCUUUCCCCCUACAAAUCCCAGAGAGGGGCCAAAAAGGCCCUGUGAUUUUGAAUUAACAAGUCAUUGUCCUACAGUCAGCCACCUAUCAUUUGUAAAUGCAGCCGCUACGCAUACAUUAUGCAGGAAUGUGGCCCAAACAGAGGGGGAAGUGUAGCACACACACCAGUGUUCAACUGAUGCUUAUAAAAGACCAUCUCCAAAGCCUUCUCAAAUUUGUACAAUUUUGGCAUCUUUGCUUCACUUGUAUUCUCUCUUCUCUUCUCUGUGCUACAACGUCAAUCCUUCUACUGAGGGAAGUUUGGAGGCACCCUUUUUUAUAACGCUGCCCCCUGCACUGAAGUGAUACUGUAUGUGCAGUUAUCCACCUCAACACAAAAGGAAUUACGUCUCGUUUGAGAGCAAUUGGCUAUUUCUAUGGAUGUACAAAUUUGCACCAGAAGUGGUCAAUCAAGUCCUUGCUUGCUAUACAUGAACGAUCUUCUCCCAACACCCCUGUUUGUACAUCUCUUUUUGUGCCAGUCAGCCAAGUGAGCCACAAACAAGUGAAAUCUGCAUUACAGUUUAUCACAGAUGCAAAUAUUCUAGAGUUCCCAUUAGUAAAAAAA
This is a long non-coding RNA of Sphaeramia orbicularis (orbiculate cardinalfish), 634 nucleotides long. RefSeq lists it as uncharacterized. The transcript has 2 exons. NCBI's taxonomy places the organism in Eukaryota, Metazoa, Chordata, Actinopteri, Kurtiformes, Apogonidae. The record is from RefSeq and is a predicted model, not a curated record.